Long non-coding RNA from Sapajus apella (tufted capuchin), 287 nucleotides. RefSeq lists it as uncharacterized. The record is from RefSeq and is a predicted model, not a curated record. The transcript is spliced from 3 exons. Lineage: Eukaryota; Metazoa; Chordata; Mammalia; Primates; Cebidae.
GAAUAACACUGUAAUGAACCUGAAAGAACAUGUGUCUUUUUGGCAGAAUGAUUAUGACUGGAUUUUGAACAUCUAACUUCAUUAAUGUAAUCUGUAAAUUAAAUUGUGCUUAUUGAUUUCACUAGUGAUGCCUAAUAAUGCCUGUUCUUUCUGGUCUGUAUUAUAAAACACCGAGGUUGCCUGGUUCAGUAAUGAUUCUAGACUCUGCUCUGGUCCCAAAGCCAGCUUCUGGAGCUUCCGCCUGAUGUCUGCUGCUGAGUGAGUAAGAAACUUUUACUUUAGUAUUA